This 460-nucleotide ribosomal RNA is filed under the name uncultured bacterium. RNAcentral describes it as "partial 16S ribosomal RNA". It matches the Rfam family "Bacterial small subunit ribosomal RNA", at positions 338 to 795 of the family's 1533-position model. The record is from RNAcentral.
CCUACGGGUGGCAGCAGUGGGGAAUAUUGGUCAAUGGACGAGAGUCUGACCCAGCCAAGUAGCGUGAAGGAUGACUGCCCUAUGGGUGGUAAACUUCGUUUGUAUGGGAAUAAAAUGUUCCACGUGUGGGAUUUUGUAUGUACCAUAUGAAUAAGGAUCGGAUAACUCCGUGCCAGCAGCCGCGGGAAUACGGAGGAUCCGAGCGUUAGCCGGAUUUAAUGGGUUUAAAGGGAGCGUAGGUGGAUUGUUAAGUCAGUUGUGAAAGUUUGCGGCUCAACCGUAAAAUGGCAGUUGAAACUGGCAGUCUGGAGUACAGUAGAGGUGAGCGGAAUUCGUGGUGUAGCGGUGAAAUGCUUAGAUAUCACGAAGAACUCCGAUUGCGAAGGCAGUUCACUGGACUGCAACUGACACUGAGGCUCGAAAGUGUGGGUAUCAAACAGGAUUAGAUACCCGUGUAGUC